CAGGAUGAACGCUAGCGGGAGGCCGUAACACAUGCAAGUCGAACGGGAUUGGUAGCAAUACCAUGAGAGUGGCGCACGGGUGAGUAACGCGUAUGCAACCUACCUGUAACAGAGGGAUAGCCCAUAGAAAUGUGGAUUAAUACCUCAUAGUCCUGAGAAGUCGCAUGGCUUUUCAGGUAAAAACUCCGGUGGUUACAGAUGGGCAUGCGUGACAUUAGCUAGUUGGUAAGGUAACGGCUUACCAAGGCAACGAUGUCUAGGGGUUCUGAGAGGAUGAUCCCCCACACUGGUACUGAGACACGGACCAGACUCCUACGGGAGGCAGCAGUGAGGAAUAUUGGUCAAUGGGCGCAAGCCUGAACCAGCCAUCCCGCGUGCAGGAUGACGGCCCUAUGGGUUGUAAACUGCUUUUGUACAGGAAGAAAAAUCCCUACGUGUAGGGACCUGCCGGUACUGUACGAAUAAGCAUCGGCUAACUCCGUGCCAGCCGCAGC
RNAcentral lists this ribosomal RNA (494 nucleotides) under uncultured bacterium. Its description in RNAcentral is "bacterial SSU rRNA". It matches the Rfam family "Bacterial small subunit ribosomal RNA", at positions 25 to 518 of the family's 1533-position model. The record is from RNAcentral.